UAGAGUUUGAUCAUGGCUCAGAUUGAACGCUGGCGGCAUGCUUUACACAUGCAAGUCGAACGGUAACAGGUCUUCGGAUGCUGACGAGUGGCGAACGGGUGAGUAAAACAUCGGAACGUGCCUGGUAGUGGGGGACAACUGCUCGAAAGAGCAGCUAAUACCGCAUGGCAUCCAAGGAUAAAAGCAGGGGACCUUCGGGCCUUGUGCUACCAGAGCGGCCGAUGGCAGAUUAGGUAGUUGGUGAGGUAAAGGCUCACCAAGCCUGCGAUCUGUAGCUGGUCUGAGAGGACGACCAGCCACACUGGGACUGAGACACGGCCCAGACUCCUACGGGAGGCAGCAGUGGGGAAUUUUGGACGAUGGGCGCAAGCCUGAUCCAGCAAUGCCGCGUGCAGGACGAAGGCCUUCGGGUUGUAAACUGCUUUUGUACAGAACGAAAAGGACUGGGUUAAUACCCUGGUCAUAUGACGGUACUGUAAGAAUAAGCACCGGCUAACUACGUGCCAGCAGCCGCGGUAAU
This 520-nucleotide ribosomal RNA is filed under the name uncultured Lampropedia sp. RNAcentral describes it as "bacterial SSU rRNA". It matches the Rfam family "Bacterial small subunit ribosomal RNA", at positions 1 to 524 of the family's 1533-position model. Lineage: Bacteria; Pseudomonadati; Pseudomonadota; Betaproteobacteria; Burkholderiales; Comamonadaceae. The record is from RNAcentral.